Molecule: ribosomal RNA, 885 nt
Filed under: uncultured bacterium
Lineage: Bacteria
Description: bacterial SSU rRNA
Rfam family: Bacterial small subunit ribosomal RNA
Source: RNAcentral
UUCUAGCUUGCUAGAAGUGGAUUAGUGGCGCACGGCUGAGUAAUGCAUAGGUUAUGUGCCCUUUAGUCUGGGAUAGCCACUGGAAACGGUGAUUAAUACUGGAUACUCCCUACGGGGGAAAGUUUUUCGCUAAAGGAUCAGCCUAUGUCCUAUCAGCUUGUUGGUGAGGUAAUGGCUCACCAAGGCUAUGACGGGUAUCCGGCCUGAGAGGGUGAUCGGACACACUGGAACUGAGACACGGUCCAGACUCCUACGGGAGGCAGCAGUAGGGAAUAUUGCUCAAUGGGGGAAACCCUGAAGCAGCAACGCCGCGUGGAGGAUGAAGGUUUUAGGAUUGUAAACUCCUUUUGUUAGAGAAGAUUAUGACGGUAUCUAACGAAUAAGCACCGGCUAACUCCGUGCCAGCAGCCGCGGUAAUACGGAGGGUGCAAGCGUUACUCGGAAUCACUGGGCGUAAAGAGUGCGUAGGCGGGGUAAUAAGUCAGAUGUGAAAUCCUGUAGCUUAACUACAGAACUGCAUUUGAAACUGUUACUCUGGAGUGUGGGAGAGGUAGGUGGAAUUCUUGGUGUAGGGGUAAAAUCCGUAGAGAUCAAGAGGAAUACUCAUUGCGAAGGCGACCUGCUGGAACAUUACUGACGCUGAUGCACGAAAGCGUGGGGAGCAAACAGGAUUAGAUACCCUGGUAGUCCACGCCCUAAACGAUGGAUGCUAGUUGUUGCCUUGCUUGUCAGGGCAGUAAUGCAGCUAACGCAUUAAGCAUCCCGCCUGGGGAGUACGGUCGCAAGAUUAAAACUCAAAGGAAUAGACGGGGACCCGCACAAGCGGUGGAGCAUGUGGUUUAAUUCGAAGAUACGCGAAGAACCUUACCUAGGCUUGACAUUGAU